Long non-coding RNA from Mesocricetus auratus (golden hamster), 298 nucleotides. RefSeq lists it as uncharacterized. Lineage: Eukaryota; Metazoa; Chordata; Mammalia; Rodentia; Cricetidae. The record is from RefSeq and is a predicted model, not a curated record. The transcript is spliced from 2 exons.
UGCUGCCAAUAUAUACAGCAGCAGGGGCACGUGUUCAAGAACCUCAAGGGAGAAAAGACACAUGCUGAAUCCUCUGGAAGUCACUGGCUCCAAACCCGUGGAGACAGACAGCCCUGGCUAAACUCAGUAAGCCACGAAACAAGACGACGACUUGGGUAUGACAAACAGGCCUGGAAGGAGGGAAGGGACUGGAUAAGAAAGAGAUAAGAGAGCGGGUCCAUUCAUACCUGCACGAAAUCGCUGACGGACAGAUGUAACUAAAAAUGUUACUGUUAAUAUUUUUCUUUACAAUCCUGAA